AUGGCAGAGCAUGGCAGGAAUGGGAAGGCAAGUGAUUCAACCCCGGGGGAGCUGAAGAUGGCUCAGCAGCAGGUCUUGAGGUUCUAAGGCCCAGCUCCCCCACCAAAUGCUGUGAUGUGAGGCCCGCCACCUCUCAUGAGACCACCGCCUCCUUUCAGCACGAAUGAGAGGCCCUCCUCCAACACCCAGGCUUCCUUGGGCCCGACACCAGGCCCCUCCUUUUGAUCCUAAUAUGCCACCAAUACCUCCCCCAGGAGAAAUACCUCCACCCUUGGGCCCACCACACCUGGAGACACCACCUUUCAUGCCUCCACCCAUGGGAGUAUACCUCCUCCUCCAGGUAUGAUGUUCCCACCAGGAAUGCCUCUGGGGACUGCUCCUAAUGCUCCAGUACUGCCUUCCACUGAGAAGUUAUGGGUAGAAAAUAAAACUCCAGAUGGGAAAGUUUAUUAUUAUAAUGCUCAGACUCGUGAAUCUGCAUCAACCAAGCCAGAUGGAGUUAAGGUUAUUCAGUAAUCAGAACUAAUGCCUAUGCUUGCAGCCCAAACACUGGUUCAGGCCCAGGCUCAGGCACAAGCCCAGGCUUAGGCUCAGGCCCAGACCCAGGCCCAGGCCCAGGCCCAAGUCCAAGCAUAAGCAGUAGGCGCUCCCACCCCUACCACCAGUAGCCCAGCACCUGCAGUGUCCAUGUCAACACCAACUUCUACCCCAUCCUCCACCACAGCUACCACAACUGCUACUUCAGUUGCACAGACAGUAUCAACACCCACAACACAAGACCAGACCCCAAGUUCUGCUGUGUCAGUUGCCACACCUACAGUUAGUGUUUCAGCUCCUGUUCCUACAGCCAGCCACACCUGUGCAAACUGUACCCCUGACGCACCCACAGAUGUUACCUCCCGCUGUUCCUCACUCAGUACCUCAGCUGGCAGCAGCAAUACCUGUUUUCCCACUAGUAAUGGUGCCUCCAGUCUGUGUGCCUCUUCCUGGCAUGCACCAUCCCACUUCCAGGUGUAUUACCAAGAAUGGCUCCUCCCAUAUUACCCAUGAUACAUCCCCAGGUUGCUAUUGCAGUUUCACCUACUACCUUAGCUGGGGCAACAGCAGUUUCUGAGUAGACUGAAUAUAACACAGCAGAUGGGAAGACGUACUAUUAUAGUAGAACACUAGAAUCAACAUGGGAGAAGCCCCAAGAACUGAAGGAAAAAGAAAAAUUAGAUGAGAAGAUUAAAGAGGCAUCUGAAGAGCCAUUGCCAAUGGAGACAGAGAAGGAAGCUCCUAAGGAAAAAUCUAUAAAAAAGAUAAAGGAGGAAGGAGCCCAAAGAAGAAGAGAUGACUAAAGAAGAAGAAAAGGCUGCCCAGAAGGCAAAGCCAGUAGCUACUACUAUACCUGGUACUCCAUGGUGUGUUGUUUGGACUGGUGAUGAGAGGGUCUUCUUUUACAAUCCUACCACUCAGCCUUUCUAUGUGGGACCAGCCUGAUGAUUUGAUUGGAAGGGCAGAUGUUGACAAAAUUAUUCAAGAGCCCCCUCAUAAAAAAGGAUUGGAAGACAUGAAGAAGCUAAGGCACCUGGCUCUGACAAUGCUGUCCAUCCAAAAGUGGCAGUUCUCGAUGAGUACAAUUAAAGAAGAAAAAGAAUUAAUGGAAAAAAAAAAUGAAUGAAGAUGAGCCUAUUAAAGCAAAAAAGCAGAAGAGAGAUGAUAAUAAAGACACUGAUUCAGAGAAAGAAGCUGCCAUGGAAGCUAAAAUUAAAGCUGCCCAAGGCCACUGUCCCUCUGGAGGCUCAACUGUAGCAGUUCAAGAACAUGCUGCUAGAGAGAGGGGUGUUUGUCUUUUCAACAUGGGAGAAGUAUUUGACACUCAGUACUUGCUUCUCAAUUCUAAAGAAAGAAAAAAGGUGUUUAAUCAGUAGAGACUGGAGCAGAGGAAGAAUGCAGGGAAAAGAAAAACAAAAAUAAUGCAAGACAAGGAAGAUUUCAAAAAAAAAAUGAUGGAAGAAGCAAAGUUUAAUCCAAGAGCUACUUUUAGUGAAUUUGCUGCCAAACAUGCUAAAGAUUCAAGAUUCAAAGCAAUCGAAAAGAUGAAAGAUAGAGAAGCAUUGUUUAAUGAAUUUGUGGCAGCUGCAAGGAAGAAAGAAAAAGUUCAAAGACGAGAGGUGAGAAGAUUAAAUCAGAUUUCUUUGAACUGUUAUCUAAUCAUCACUUGGAUAGUCAGUCUCUAUGGAGCAAAGUAAAAGACAAAGUAGAAAGUGACCCACGAUAUAAAGCUGUGGAUAGUUCAUCAAUGAGAGAAGACCUUUUCAAAAAGUACAUAGAGUAGCUAAGAAUUUAGACCCAGAAAAAGAAAAAGAGAUGGAAAGGCAUGCCCGCAUUGAGGCAAGCCUUCAAGAAGGUGAAAGAGAAGUUCAAAAGGCAUGUUCUGAGCAAACUAAAGAAACUGAUGGAGAGAGAGCAAAGCACAAACAAGAAGAAGCUAUCCAGAAUAUCAAAGCUCUUCUAUCUGACUGGUACAUUCUUCCGAUGUGUCCUGGUCUGAUACUAAGAGGACCCUCCGGAAAGACCACUGCUGGGAAUCUGGGUCCUUAUUGGAAAGAGAGGAGAAAGAGAAACUCUUUAAUGAACAUAUUGAAGCACUUACCAAAAAGAAAAGGGAACACUUUAGGCAGCUUCUAGAUGAAACUUCUCCAAUUACCUUAACAUCCACAUGGAAAGAAGUGAAAAGAAUAAUUAAGGAAUAUCCGCAGUGCAUUAAGUUCUCCUCCAGUGACAGGAAAAAAACAAAAGGAGUUUGAAGAAUACAUCGGAGACAAAUACAUCACUGCCAAAGCUGACUUCAGGACACUUUUGAAAGAGACCAAAUUUAUUUAUCACAUACAGAUCCAAAAAGCUAAUCCAAGAAUCUGAUCAGCACCUGAAAAAUGUAGAAAAAUAUUGCAGAAUGACAUAAGGUAUCUAGUACUGGAGUGUGUACCAGAGGAGAGGAGGAAACUAAUCGUGGCAUAUGUUGAUGACCUGGAUCGCCGAGGUCUAUCUCCACCUCCUACAGCAUUAGAGCCCGCUAGACAAUCAACAAAAUAA
Non-coding RNA from Arvicanthis niloticus (Nile rat), 3078 nucleotides. The record is from RefSeq and is a predicted model, not a curated record. Lineage: Eukaryota; Metazoa; Chordata; Mammalia; Rodentia; Muridae.